CCUACGGGAGGCAGCAGUGAGGAAUAUUGGUCAAUGGGCGCGAGCCUGAACCAGCCAAGUAGCGUGAAGGAUGACUGCCCUACGGGUUGUAAACUUCUUUUAUAAAGGAAUAAAGUGAGGCACGCGUGCCUUUUUGUAUGUACUUUAUGAAUACGGAUCGGCUAACUCCGUGCCAGCAGCCGCGGUAAUACGGAGGAUCCGAGCGUUAUCCGGAUUGAUUGGGUUUAAAGGGAGCGUAGAUGGGUUGUUAAGUCAGUUGUGAAAGUUUGCGGCUCAACCGUAAAAUUGCAAUUGAUACUGGGAGUCUUGAGUACAGUAGAGGUAGGCGGAAUGCGUGGUGUAGCGGUGAAAUGCAUAGAUAUCACGCAGAACUCCGAUUGCGAAGGCAGCAUACCGGAGCCCGACUGACGCUGAGGCACGAAAGCGUGGGGAUCGAACAGGAUUAGAUACCCGGGUAAUC
This 460-nucleotide ribosomal RNA is filed under the name uncultured bacterium. RNAcentral describes it as "partial 16S ribosomal RNA". It matches the Rfam family "Bacterial small subunit ribosomal RNA", at positions 338 to 795 of the family's 1533-position model. The record is from RNAcentral.